UAGUAUUCUUGUCCGGAUUCUUCCACACCUGCUGCGUUGCAGUUUUCUGAGUCAGUCUCCUUUCAUCUCAUCCAUGUCUUCCUCAAGAUCCUUGCCCCAAAAACGCAGAGAGAAAAUAGAUGGAUUUGGAUUGAAAGGAUAUGUCACCAGAGAGCCAUUUUAUAAAAAAGUUUUGCAGUCUCCGUCUAGUUUUAUGCUAGGCAUUAUUCUUCUUCUCCUGUUUUUUCUGCCCCUGCACAACAAUUGUAUGUGUCAAUUCGAAUGGUUUGGUUUCUUCCCACCCAUCUCUUCCUCCGGUUCCUUGCUCCAAGGUCGCUUGCCACCUAAACGCGGACAGAAAGUAGAUGAAUUCCCAGGGAUCCAUGAAGUGUUCUUGAGUUUCAGAGGGGAAGACACUCGUGCAUCAUUCAUUUCACAUCUCUAUUCCUCUCUUCAAAAUGCCGGAAUCACUGUUUUCAUUGAUGAUGAUUCGCUUCAGAUGGGAGAUCAGAUUUCCACCUCACUAAUGGGAGCAAUCGAAAGCUCUGAAAUCUCUGUUAUUGUUUUCUCAAGAAAUUAUGCAAAUUCAAGAUGGUGUCUACAAGAGUUGGAAAAAAUAAUGGAGUGUCACAGAACCAUAGGCCAGGUGGUUCUGCCUGUGUUCUAUGAUGUAGAUCCCUCAGAAGUACGUCAUCAAACAGGUAAGUUUGGAAAAGCAUUUCAAAAACAUUUGAACAGAAUUUCAACGGAGGAAGACAAGGUGCUGCGUUGGAGGAUGGCGCUCCGUGAUGCUAGCGGCAUUUCAGGGUUUGCAGUCCUAGAUUCCAGGAAUGAGAGUGAGGCUAUCGAGAAGGUUGUUGAAAAUGUUACACGUUUGCUAGACAAGACAGACUUGUUCAUUGCUGAUAAUCCAGUGGGAGUAGAAACUCGAGUCCAAGAUAUGAUUCAGUUGCUAGAUAACCAACAAUCAAAUGAUGUUUUACUACUAGGGAUGUGGGGAAUGGGAGGAAUUGGUAAAACAAGCAUUGCGAAAGCCAUUUACAAUACAAUUGGCCGCAGUUUUGAGGGUAGGAGCUUCCUCGCACAUAUUAGGCAAGUUUGGGAGCAAGAUGGUGGCCAAAUGUGUUUACAAGAACAACUUCUCUUUGAUAUCUACAAAAGAUCAAAAACAAAGAUACAUAAUGUUGAAUCAGGGAAAAAUAUAUUAAAGGAAAGACUUUGCCAUAAAAGAGUACUUCUUGUACUUGACGAUGUGAAUAAAUUGGACCAACUGAAUGCUUUGUGUGGAAGUCGUAAAUGGUUUGGUUCAGGGAGUAGAAUAAUCAUCACAACCCAGGAUAAGCAUAUACUUGCAGGGAAUAGAGUUGACCAAGUUUACAGAAUGAAAGAAAUGGAUGAAAGUGAAUCUGUUGAACUUUUUAGUUGGCAUGCAUUCAAGAAGUCGAGUCCUAGAGAAGAUUUUGCUGGACUUUCCAGAAAUGUAGUUGCGUAUUCUGGGGGAUUGCCUCUAGCUCUUGAAGUCCUUGGGUCCUAUUUGUUUGACAGGGAGGUAAUAGAGUGGAAGAGUGUAUUGGAGAAACUCAAAAGAAUUCCCAAUGAUCAAGUACAGAAGAAGUUAAAAAUAAGCUAUGAUGGUUUAAAUGAUGAUACAGAGAAAGAAAUAUUCCUUGAUAUAGCUUGUUUUUUUAUUGGGAUGGACCGAAAUGAUGUCAUACAUAUAUUAAAUGGCUGUGGACAUUUUGCAGAGAUCGGAAUUAGUGUCCUUGUUGAGCGAAGCCUGGUAACUUUUGAUGAUAGGAACCAGCUUGGAAUGCAUGAUUUGCUAAGAGACAUGGGAAGAGAAAUCAUUCGUGAGAAAUCACCAAAGGAGCCUGAGGAGCGUAGCAGGUUAUGGUUUCAUGAGGAUGUGCUUGAUGUAUUAUCAGAACAAACUGGCACAAAAGCGGUUGAGGGACUGGCUUUGAAGUUGCCAAGAACUAAUACAAAAUGUUUGAGUACUAAAGCGUUUAAAAAGAUGAAGAAACUCAGAUUGCUUCAACUUGCCGGUAUACAACUUGAUGGAGAUUUUGAAUAUUUGUCAAGAAAUCUGAGAUGGCUGCAUUGGCAUGGAUUUCCUUUAACAUGCAUACCUGCAAACUUCUAUCAAGGAAAUUUAGUUUCCAUUGAGCUAGAAAACAGCAAUGUCAAACUUGUGUGGCAAGAGGCCCAGUUGAUGGAGAAGCUGAAAAUUCUCAAUCUUAGCCAUUCUCGUUAUUUGACACAGACCCCAGACUUUUCAAACUUGCCUAAUCUCGAAAAGCUAGUACUCACAGAUUGUCCAAGCUUGUGUGAGGUUUCCGAUACCAUUGGACAUCUUAAUAAAGUUCUUCUAAUAAAUCUGAAAGACUGUACUAGCCUUCGUAAACUUACAAGAAGCAUCUAUAAGUUGAAAUCUCUGAAAACUCUCAUUCUUUCUGGAUGUUCAAUGAUUGACAAGUUGGAAGAGGACUUGGAACAAAUGGAAUCCUUGACCACCCUGAUUGCGGAUAAAACUGCAAUAACAAGAGUGCCCUUUGCAAUAGUAAGGUUAAAAAGCAUUGGAUAUAUUUCUCUGUGCGGCUAUGAAGGAUUCUCACGGGACGUGUUUCCUUCCAUCAUUUGGUCUUGGAUGUCACCAACAAAUAAUCUCUCAUUUCUAGUUCCAACAUUUGCGGGCAUGUCAUCUCUCGUUUCUUUAAAUGUACCAAAUAGUAGUUCCUACAAUCUAUCAUCUAUUUCCAAGGACCUUCCAAAGCUUCGUAGUCUUUGGGUGGAGUGCGGCUCAGAACUUCAAUUAUCACGAGAUGCAGAAAGAAUUUUGGAUGCCUUAUAUGCCACAAAUUUUAAGGAAUUGGAAUCCACUGCAAUAAUAUCAAAAGUAUCAAAUAUGAAUACUUCUGCAUUAAUUGAAUGCAGCAGUCAAGUGCACCUUUCAGGAUCCAAAAAUUCCUUGAAAUCUCUUUUGAUUCAAAUGGGAAUGGAUUGCCAAGUCACCAAUAUUCUGAAAGAGACCAUUUUACAGAAUAUGACUAUCAGUGAGAGUGGUGGUUGUUUGCUCCCUGGUGAUAAUUAUCCAUAUUGGUUAACCUUCAAAUGCGAAGGUUCUUCUGUAAGUUUCGAAGUCCCUCAAGUGAACGGGCAUAACUUGAAGACAAUGUUGUGCAUUGUCCAUUCUUCUACCCCAGACAAGUUAACAUCAGAUGGUCUUAAAAAUGUGUUGGUGAUAAAUUACACAAAGACCACCAUUCAGCUUUACAAGAGAGAAGCAUUAGCCUCCUUUGAAGAUGAGGAGUGGCAGAGAGUAGCAUCAAAUAUAGAACCUGGUAACAAAGUGAUGGUUGUUGUUGUUUUUGAGAAUGAAUUCUUUGUUAAAAAGACAGCAGUUUAUCUCAUAUAUGAAGAACCAAUUGAUGAAAGAACAGAGCACUGCCAUGCACCAGAUAAGAAUGUUAUCGUUUCUAGUGAUUAUGAAAAUGUAUGUGGUGUCAGUUGGAUCUCUCCUCAAGUGGAGUGGACGGAUAACUUUAAACAAAAACAGAAAAGAAGAAGAUUCGAGUAAAGGGAAGAAGAUAUGGGUAACAUGGAUACAUGACAAUUGAUCAAGCAAAUGAAAAGUUAUGCUUGAACGGCAUUGGAAGGUGGAAAUCAACUUUGUUUUGUUGAGAAGUCAAGUCAUUCAAUAAGCUGACAAACAUGGAAAUCAUAUGGUUCAAGAAGAGUUGAUCUAUGUCUGAGACACGCCUCUUAUUCUCCUAAUGACAUUGGCUGUCUGCUAGCUAUUGUUGAAGCUUGCGCGCCAUUUGCAUGGCUAUGAUUGGAAGGACAAAAAGCACUAGAAGAUAAAAGAGGAAAGAAAAAUCAUGAAGAAUAUUCUACUGUUAUUUGGUGGAGGAAAAUGACAAAAUCUCAUGAUGCAUUUUUGAAGAAUCAAUCUUAGCCACUGAGAUGAGGACAAGUGUGUACACGAUCUAAAGGUUCCUUAGUCUUUUUAUUUUUUUUGAAAAGCGUUCUUUAGUCAUUGUUGUCAAUACAAGAUUCAGUUUAUUUUAUUUUAUAAGGUGUUUUACUGAUUUACUUUGCUGGUUUAUUGGCCAUUUUCCUACAAUAGUUUAUUUGAAGGGAAUAUCAUUGAAAAUAGGGAAAUUCUGCACCCAACCUCAUUUUCUCAGAGAUUUUGUCAUUUGCUUUGUCUAAUCUAUUUCUGA
This is an RNA transcript of Gastrolobium bilobum, 4202 nucleotides long. It is a transcript of the gene named disease resistance protein RPV1-like, with no coding region annotated. The record is from RefSeq and is a predicted model, not a curated record. Lineage: Eukaryota; Viridiplantae; Streptophyta; Magnoliopsida; Fabales; Fabaceae. The transcript has 8 exons.